AACAGGAUUAGAUACCCUGGUAGUCCACGCCGUAAACGGUGGGCGCUAGGUGUGGGGACUGGUUCCACGGUUUCCGUGCCGUAGCUAACGCAUUAAGCGCCCCGCCUGGGGAGUACGGCCGCAAGGCUAAAACUCAAUGGAAUUGACGGGGGCCCGCACAAGCGGCGGAGCAUGUGGAUUAAUUCGAUGCAACGCGAAGAACCUUACCUGGGUUUGACGUGCACUGGAUCGCCCUAGAGAUAGGGUUUCCCUUGUGGCUGGUGCACAGGUGGUGCAUGGCUGUCGUCAGCUCGUGUCGUGAGAUGUUGGGUUAAGUCCCGCAACGAGCGCAACCCUUGCCCCAUGUUGCCAGCGGUUCGGCCGGGGACUCGUGGGGGACUGCCGGGGUCAACUCGGAGGAAGGUGGGGAUGACGUCAAGUCAUCAUGCCCCUUAUGCCCAGGGCUUCACACAUGCUACAAUGGCCGGUACAGAGGGUGGCGAGACCGUGAGGUGGAGCGAAUCCCAGAAAGCCGGUCUCAGUUCGGAUCGGGGUCUGCAACUCGACCCCGUGAAGUCGGAGUCGCUAGUAAUCGCAGAUCAGCAAUGCUGCGGUGAAUACGUUCCCGGGCCUUGUACACACCGCCCGCCACGUCAUGAAAGUCGGUAACACCCGAAGCCCAUGGCCCAACCCCCGUGUGGGGGAGGGAGUGGUCGAAGGUGGGACUGGCGAUUGGGACGAAGUCGUAACAAGGUAACC
RNAcentral lists this ribosomal RNA (738 nucleotides) under uncultured bacterium. RNAcentral's name for it is "bacterial SSU rRNA". It matches the Rfam family "Bacterial small subunit ribosomal RNA", at positions 771 to 1501 of the family's 1533-position model. The record is from RNAcentral.